AUUUAGCCCUGAUGGGAAUGGAAAUAAAAAAACCUUUCUGGUGUUCAGAAAGGUUUUUUUAUUGCAAUGUACAGCAGGAAUUACG
Molecule: small RNA, 85 nt
Filed under: Flavobacterium aquatile LMG 4008 = ATCC 11947
Lineage: Bacteria; Pseudomonadati; Bacteroidota; Flavobacteriia; Flavobacteriales; Flavobacteriaceae
Description: Flavobacterium aquatile LMG 4008 Flavo-1 RNA
Rfam family: Flavo-1 RNA
Source: Rfam by way of RNAcentral